Molecule: ribosomal RNA, 442 nt
Filed under: uncultured bacterium
Lineage: Bacteria
Description: partial 16S ribosomal RNA
Rfam family: Bacterial small subunit ribosomal RNA
Source: RNAcentral
ACUACGGUGGGCAGCAGUGGGGAAUAUUGGGCAAUGGGCGCAAGCCUGACCCAGCAAUGCCGCGUGAAGGAAGAAGGCUUUCGGGUUGUAAACUUCUUUGACAGGGGAAGAGCAGAAGACGGUACCCUGAAAACAAGCCACGGCUAACUACGUGCCAGCAGCCGCGGUAAUACGUAGGUGGCAAGCGUUGUCCGGAUUUACUGGGUGUAAAGGGCGUUUAGCCGGGAAGGCAAGUCAGAUGUGAAAUCUGGAGGCUCAACCUCCAAAUUGCAUUUGAAACUGUUUUUCUUGAGUACUGGAGAGGCAGACGGAAUUCCUUGUGUAGCGGUGAAAUGCGUAGAUAUAAGGAGGAACACCAGUGGCGAAGGCGGUCUGCUGGACAGCAACUGACGGUGAGGCGCGAAAGCGUGGGGAGCAAACAGGAUUAGAUACCCCAGUAGUC